GUUUAAUAGUCUUAUCACAGCAAGAUAGAAGCUGCGCACCUUGUGCAGCUGGAUCCUAAAAUUCCUAUCAGAUCGCUGACAGGUGCAGAGAUGAGGAAGCCUACAGAGGAAAGGUUGACACCCUGACACAGUGGUGCCAGGAAAACAACCUCUCCCUCAAUGUCCAAAAACAAAAGAGCAGAUUGUGGAUUUCAGGAGGAACAGAGACAGGCUCAGCCCCAUUCAACAUCAAUGGAUCUGCAGUUGAGAGGGUUCUGCUGAAGGCUUUCGGCCCAAAACGACGACUGUACUCUUUUCCAUAAACGCUGCCUGGCCUGCCGAGUUCCUCCAGCAUCUUGUGUGUGUUACUUGGAAUUCCAGCAUCUGCAGAUUUUAUCUUGUUUGUGUACAGUAAACUUGUAUUCUUUUGAAUGCAGGUUAAUUCAUAAUAUCAUUAGAAUGAUCAUGAUUAAAGGAUUAAGCUGGGGAAGAUAAAGAAAAUAAUUAUUCCUUCCUCUGAAAGAAGCCAGAAAAGGGGAACAUAACCCUAAAAUAAAGGAUUAUGUCAUAAAAAUGGUAGGAUAAAUCUCAAAUACCCCGUCCAAAAAAAAUUACAGAAGUUUGUCAAUUAACAUGUUUUGAACAGGCACUAACAUAUGGUCAUAUUAAGGGUUAAAAAAUUAAGAAACUAAUUGGAAUGACCAAAAAUUAUCUAUUGAAUGGCAGAAAGGAUUCAAGUGCACAGAUGGCCUUUUCAUGAUCCUACGUGAUUGCAUAUCUCUUGCCAUUAUGAGUGGAAAGGUUUUGUUUCAUUAGCAGAACAUCAUGUUAGACA
Hypanus sabinus (Atlantic stingray) is the source of this 814-nucleotide long non-coding RNA. RefSeq lists it as uncharacterized. The record is from RefSeq and is a predicted model, not a curated record. NCBI's taxonomy places the organism in Eukaryota, Metazoa, Chordata, Chondrichthyes, Myliobatiformes, Dasyatidae. The transcript has 3 exons.